Non-coding RNA from Cyanistes caeruleus (blue tit), 1135 nucleotides. The record is from RefSeq and is a predicted model, not a curated record. NCBI's taxonomy places the organism in Eukaryota, Metazoa, Chordata, Aves, Passeriformes, Paridae.
UAAGGUUUCCCUGUUUCACCCUCCCCAACACAGCACAAAAUACUGGGCUGUGUCAGCUCUUGGCUGGAGCAGCAAACGGAGGGAGUUCCAGGCUCUGCUGCCACAGACUCCCCACUUGAGGGAACAGAACCCCCCCAGGCCUCAUUGCAAAUGCUGUGCACGCCCCGCUGGCUGCAGACACCCCCUUUUUCAGCUGCAGCUGCUGGCAGGAGCUCUCCCAAACCAACCCUGUCCUCAGGGCAAUUUGGUUACAGAGUCAACUCCGUUCCAGUGGAAGAACAGAAAGCACACAGCAAGCCCAAAGCCACAGAGGCUGCACCGAGGGAAAACCUCAACUUACGUGCCAAGUGGGUUAAAAAAUACCCCGAAUAAGCCACAGAGAACAGAGUGCCAACUGCAGCAACCACUUGCUGCAUCAUUUUGGCUGCGCUGCACACGUCUGCAGACUGUACCCCUGCAAGCACAGAAGGACACCCGUCAGGGGCUGGGCUGGCUGCUGAGAAUGCCUCGGGCAGGAGGAUCCUCUGGCAACGAGCAGGCGCCCAGAGCCGCUCUGGACACUGAGGCCUCCGUGUCCCACAGCAACGGGAACACCACGGGGACGUGGCAACGCUCCUGUGACACCACAGCAGCCGCUCACGCAAAAACCACCUGGAAGCUUCUCCUGUGUCACAAAGGAGCACAAAGAAUCCUCCCAGGGCACGGCCUAUUGCCCAAAGGAUCCAAGAGGAACUCUGAAAAUGCAGCAAACAAGGACACCCCAUAGCCCAGCCUGAGCACUGAGGAGGAACGAGGACAGCACCAAACCAGAGCAAACACAACCUGUAGUCACUGAUACUGCUGAAUAAAACCAGCAAGGCUUGUUCCAUCUGGAAUCUUUGUUCUAGUUCUAAAAACAAGCAAGGUUCUCCACUGUAAAUAUACAGAAGGCAGGAACUGGGGAGGAGGUGGGAUUAGGAAGGAGGAGGAGCAGGAGGAGGGAGAAAGGAAAAGGAGGAGCAGGAACAGGAAUAGAAGGAGAAGCUGGAGGUUCCAGUGCCCUCUGUGUCCGCAGCACCCCCGGCCACGGGCCCAUCGCCCCCACCUCAUCCUGCAGGAUUUGUCAUUCCCAAGCCAUGGCCAGAUGGAGGAAGAG